This 52-nucleotide transfer RNA is filed under the name Metacrangonyx sp. 3 ssp. 1 MDMBR-2012. Its description in RNAcentral is "transfer RNA Arginine". The record is from RNAcentral. Lineage: Eukaryota; Metazoa; Arthropoda; Malacostraca; Amphipoda; Metacrangonyctidae.
AAAAUAGAAAAAAUUUGGCUUCGAAUCAGAUAUAGGUCUAUACCCUAUUUUA